ACACGGCCCCUGAAGUAGAAGUCCGUGGACAGCUUUGCUAUUAUUGGCAUUUUUAGCCCAAUAACCGCUGUUUUAAUCAACAUUUACUCACCAGAUCGUAUCAUGGUUUAUAUGCAUUUCUUUAAAUGUCAUUAUUUCGGUCUUAUUGCGAAGGAAA
Long non-coding RNA from Etheostoma cragini (Arkansas darter), 157 nucleotides. RefSeq lists it as uncharacterized. NCBI's taxonomy places the organism in Eukaryota, Metazoa, Chordata, Actinopteri, Perciformes, Percidae. The record is from RefSeq and is a predicted model, not a curated record. The transcript is spliced from 3 exons.